GGGUUGUGAGGUUAAGCGACUAAGCGUACACGGUGGAUGCCCUGGCAGUCAGAGGCGAUGAAGGACGUGCUAAUCUGCGAAAAGCGUCGGUAAGGUGAUAUGAACCGUUACAGCCGGCGAUGUCCGAAUGGGGAAACCCAGUGCAAUUCGUUGCACUAUCGUUAACUGAAUACAUAGGUUAACGAGGCGAACCGGGGGAACUGAAACAUCUAAGUACCCCGAGGAAAAGAAAUCAACCGAGAUUCCCCCAGUAGCGGCGAGCGAACGGGGAGCAGCCCAGAGUCUGAAUCAGCUUGUGUGUUAGUGGAACGGUCUGGAAAGUCCGACGGUACAGGGUGAUAGUCCCGUACACCAAAAUGCACAGGCUGUGAACUCGAAGAGUAGGGCGGGACACGUGGUAUCCUGUCUGAAUAUGGGGGGACCAUCCUCCAAGGCUAAAUACUCCUGACUGACCGAUAGUGAACCAGUACCGUGAGGGAAAGGCGAAAAGAACCCCGGCGAGGGGAGUGAAAAAGAACCUGAAACCGUGUACGUACAAGCAGUGGGAGCACCUUCGGGUGUGACUGCGUACCUUUUGUAUAAUGGGUCAGCGACUUAUAUUCUGUAGCAAGGUUAACCGUAUAGGGGAGCCGCAGGGAAACCGAGUCUUAACUGGGCGUUAAGUUGCAGGGUAUAGACCCGAAACCCGGUGAUCUAGCCAUGGGCAGGUUGAAGGUUGGGUAACACUAACUGGAGGACCGAACCGACUAAUGUUGAAAAAUUAGCGGAUGACUUGUGGCUGGGGGUGAAAGGCCAAUCAAACCGGGAGAUAGCUGGUUCUCCCCGAAAGCUAUUUAGGUAGCGCCUCGUGAAUUCAUCUUCGGGGGUAGAGCACUGUUUCGGCUAGGGGGUCAUCCCGACUUACCAACCCGAUGCAAACUACGAAUACCGAAGAAUGUUAUCACGGGAGACACACGGCGGGUGCUAACGUCCGUCGUGAAGAGGGAAACAACCCAGACCGCCAGCUAAGGUCCCAAAGUCAUGGUUAAGUGGGAAACGAUGUGGGAAGGCACAGACAGCCAGGAUGUUGGCUUAGAAGCAGCCAUCAUUUAAAGAAAGCGUAAUAGCUCACUGGUCGAGUCGGCCUGCGCGGAAGAUGUAACGGGGCUAAACCAUGCACCGAAGCUGCGGCAGCGACACUAUGUGUUGUUGGGUAGGGGAGCGUUCUGUAAGCCUGCGAAGGUGACCUGUGAGGGUUGCUGGAGGUAUCAGAAGUGCGAAUGCUGACAUAAGUAACGAUAAAGCGGGUGAAAAGCCCGCUCGCCGGAAGACCAAGGGUUCCUGUCCAACGUUAAUCGGGGCAGGGUGAGUCGACCCCUAAGGCGAGGCCGAAAGGCGUAGUCGAUGGGAAACAGGUUAAUAUUCCUGUACUUGGUGUUACUGCGAAGGGGGGACGGAGAAGGCUAUGUUAGCCGGGCGACGGUUGUCCCGGUUUAAGCAUGUAGGCUGGUUAUCCAGGCAAAUCCGGAUAAUCAAGGCUGAGGUGUGAUGACGAGGCACUACGGUGCUGAAGUAACAAAUGCCCUGCUUCCAGGAAAAGCCUCUAAGCAUCAGGUAACAUCAAAUCGUACCCCAAACCGACACAGGUGGUCAGGUAGAGAAUACCAAGGCGCUUGAGAGAACUCGGGUGAAGGAACUAGGCAAAAUGGUGCCGUAACUUCGGGAGAAGGCACGCUGGUGUGUAGGUGAAGUCCCUGCGGAUGGAGCUGAGACCAGUCGAAGAUACCAGCUGGCUGCAACUGUUUAUUAAAAACACAGCACUGUGCAAACACGAAAGUGGACGUAUACGGUGUGACGCCUGCCCGGUGCCGGAAGGUUAAUUGAUGGGGUUAUCCGUAAGGAGAAGCUCUUGAUCGAAGCCCCGGUAAACGGCGGCCGUAACUAUAACGGUCCUAAGGUAGCGAAAUUCCUUGUCGGGUAAGUUCCGACCUGCACGAAUGGCGUAAUGAUGGCCAGGCUGUCUCCACCCGAGACUCAGUGAAAUUGAACUCGCUGUGAAGAUGCAGUGUACCCGCGGCAAGACGGAAAGACCCCGUGAACCUUUACUAUAGCUUGACACUGAACAUUGAGCCUUGAUGUGUAGGAUAGGUGGGAGGCUUUGAAGCGUGGACGCCAGUCUGCGUGGAGCCAACCUUGAAAUACCACCCUUUAAUGUUUGAUGUUCUAACGUUGGCCCCUGACCGGGGUUGCGGACAGUGUCUGGUGGGUAGUUUGACUGGGGCGGUCUCCUCCCAAAGCGUAACGGAGGAGCACGAAGGUUAGCUAAUCCUGGUCGGACAUCAGGAGGUUAGUGCAAUGGCAUAAGCUAGCUUGACUGCGAGCGUGACGGCGCGAGCAGGUGCGAAAGCAGGUCAUAGUGAUCCGGUGGUUCUGAAUGGAAGGGCCAUCGCUCAACGGAUAAAAGGUACUCCGGGGAUAACAGGCUGAUACCGCCCAAGAGUUCAUAUCGACGGCGGUGUUUGGCACCUCGAUGUCGGCUCAUCACAUCCUGGGGCUGAAGUAGGUCCCAAGGGUAUGGCUGUUCGCCAUUUAAAGUGGUACGCGAGCUGGGUUUAGAACGUCGUGAGACAGUUCGGUCCCUAUCUGCCGUGGGCGCUGGAGAAUUGAGGGGGGCUGCUCCUAGUACGAGAGGACCGGAGUGGACGCAUCACUGGUGUUCGGGUUGUCAUGCCAAUGGCACUGCCCGGUAGCUAAAUGCGGAAGAGAUAAGUGCUGAAAGCAUCUAAGCACGAAACUUGCCCCGAGAUGAGUUCUCCCUGAGACUUUAAGUCUCCUGAAGGAACGUU
This 2825-nucleotide ribosomal RNA is filed under the name Klebsiella pneumoniae. RNAcentral's name for it is "bacterial LSU rRNA". It matches the Rfam family "Bacterial large subunit ribosomal RNA". The record is from RNAcentral. Lineage: Bacteria; Pseudomonadati; Pseudomonadota; Gammaproteobacteria; Enterobacterales; Enterobacteriaceae.